CGGAAUUGCUAAAAUGCUAACUCAUUUACGGGGUUUGGCCUACAAAAAUACAUUAUCCCUGCAUCACUCUAUUUGUCCAUUGUUUUUCUCCACAGGUCUUGCUGUGUUUUUCUCGAGACACUGCAGUCCUGGAGCAUUUCAGCUACAACAGCGCUACACCACCUAAAUCUUGCAUCCAAAACAAGUCUGGCUCAGAGCAGUGUGCUAUGGUUUACCCCCCGAAUGGUGUCAUCCCAUUUCAUGGCUUCUCAAUGUAUGUUGCUCCACUGUGUUUCUUAUAUAACGAGCCGUCGAAGCUGUACAGAGUGUUUAGAGAGAUGUAUAUUCGCUACCUCUUCAGACUACACUCUAUCUCCUCACAUCCAUCUGUAAGUAUC
This is a long non-coding RNA of Sinocyclocheilus anshuiensis, 377 nucleotides long. RefSeq lists it as uncharacterized. The record is from RefSeq and is a predicted model, not a curated record. NCBI's taxonomy places the organism in Eukaryota, Metazoa, Chordata, Actinopteri, Cypriniformes, Cyprinidae. The transcript is spliced from 4 exons.